AGGCCAAGCCCACCUGCCUAAAAAUAACAGAUCAAGCGGACAGAAGGGAGCUUGCUCCCGGAUGUUAGCGGCGGACGGGUGAGUAACACGUGGGUAACCUGCCUGUAAGACUGGGAUAACUCCGGGAAACCGGAGCUAAUACCGGAUAGUUCCUUGAACCGCAUGGUUCAAGGAUGAAAGACGGUUUCGGCUGUCACUUACAGAUGGACCCGCGGCGCAUUAGCUAGUUGGUGAGGUAACGGCUCACCAAGGCGACGAUGCGUAGCCGACCUGAGAGGGUGAUCGGCCACACUGGGACUGAGACACGGCCCAGACUCCUACGGGAGGCAGCAGUAGGGAAUCUUCCGCAAUGGACGAAAGUCUGACGGAGCAACGCCGCGUGAGUGAUGAAGGUUUUCGGAUCGUAAAGCUCUGUUGUUAGGGAAGAACAAGUGCAAGAGUAACUGCUUGCACCUUGACGGUACCUAACCAGAAAGCCACGGCUAACUACGUGCCAGCAGCCGCGGUAAUACGUAGGUGGCAAGCGUUGUCCGGAAUUAUUGGGCGUAAAGGGCUCGCAGGCGGUUUCUUAAGUCUGAUGUGAAAGCCCCCGGCUCAACCGGGGAGGGUCAUUGGAAACUGGGAAACUUGAGUGCAGAAGAGGAGAGUGGAAUUCCACGUGUAGCGGUGAAAUGCGUAGAGAUGUGGAGGAACACCAGUGGCGAAGGCGACUCUCUGGUCUGUAACUGACGCUGAGGAGCGAAAGCGUGGGGAGCGAACAGGAUUAGAUACCCUGGUAGUCCACGCCGUAAACGAUGAGUGCUAAGUGUUAGGGGGUUUCCGCCCCUUAGUGCUGCAGCUAACGCAUUAAGCACUCCGCCUGGGGAGUACGGUCGCAAGACUGAAACUCAAAGGAAUUGACGGGGGCCCGCACAAGCGGUGGAGCAUGUGGUUUAAUUCGAAGCAACGCGAAGAAUCUUACCAGGUCUUGACAUCCUCUGACAACCCUAGAGAUAGGGCUUUUCCCUUCGGGGACAGAGUGACAGGUGGUGCAUGGUUGUCGUCAGCUCGUGUCGUGAGAAUGUUGGGUUAGU
Molecule: ribosomal RNA, 1073 nt
Filed under: bacterium
Lineage: Bacteria
Description: bacterial SSU rRNA
Rfam family: Bacterial small subunit ribosomal RNA
Source: RNAcentral